This 206-nucleotide ribosomal RNA is filed under the name uncultured bacterium. RNAcentral's name for it is "partial 16S ribosomal RNA". It matches the Rfam family "Bacterial small subunit ribosomal RNA", at positions 568 to 774 of the family's 1533-position model. The record is from RNAcentral.
CGCGUAGGCGGGCGUCUAAGUCAGGGGUGAAAUCCCGAGGCUCAACCUCGGAAUUGCCUUUGAUACUGGAUGUCUCGAGACCGGAAGAGGUGAGUGGAACUGCGAGUGUAGAGGUGAAAUUCGUAGAUAUUCGCAAGAACACCAGUGGCGAAGGCGGCUCACUGGUCCGGUUCUGACGCUGAGGCGCGAAAGCGUGGGAGCAAACA